Molecule: ribosomal RNA, 490 nt
Filed under: uncultured bacterium
Lineage: Bacteria
Description: partial 16S ribosomal RNA
Rfam family: Bacterial small subunit ribosomal RNA
Source: RNAcentral
AUUGAACGCUGGCGGCAGGCCUAACACAUGCAAGUCGAACGGUAACAGGAAGCAGCUUGCUGCUUCGCUGACGAGUGGCGGACGGGUGAGUAAUGUCUGGGAAGCUGCCUGAUGGAGGGGGAUAACUACUGGAAACGGUAGCUAAUACCGCAUAAUGUCGCAAGACCAAAGAGGGGGACCUUCGUGCCUCUUGCCAUCGGAUGUGCCCAGAUGGGAUUAGCUUGUUGGUGGGGUAACGGCUCACCAAGGCGACGAUCCCUAGCUGGUCUGAGAGGAUGACCAGCCACACUGGAACUGAGACACGGUCCAGACUCCUACGGGAGGCAGCAGUGGGGAAUAUUGCACAAUGGGCGCAAGCCUGAUGCAGCCAUGCCGCGUGUAUGAAGAAGGCCUUCGGGUUGUAAAGUACUUUCAGCGGGGAGGAAGGGAGUAAAGUUAAUACCUUUGCUCAUUGACGUUACCCGCAGAAGAAGCACCGGCUAACUCCGUG